RNAcentral lists this ribosomal RNA (510 nucleotides) under Lasiodiplodia pseudotheobromae. RNAcentral describes it as "eukaryotic LSU rRNA". The stretch from base 136 to 289 matches the Rfam family "5.8S ribosomal RNA". The record is from RNAcentral. Lineage: Eukaryota; Fungi; Ascomycota; Dothideomycetes; Botryosphaeriales; Botryosphaeriaceae.
GAGUUUUCGGGCUUCGGCUCGACUCUCCCACCCUUUGUGAACGUACCUCUGUUGCUUUGGCGGCUCCGGCCGCCAAAGGACCUCCAAACUCCAGUCAGUAAACGCAGACGUCUGAUAAACAAGUUAAUAAACUAAAACUUUCAACAACGGAUCUCUUGGUUCUGGCAUCGAUGAAGAACGCAGCGAAAUGCGAUAAGUAAUGUGAAUUGCAGAAUUCAGUGAAUCAUCGAAUCUUUGAACGCACAUUGCGCCCCUUGGUAUUCCGGGGGGCAUGCCUGUUCGAGCGUCAUUACAACCCUCAAGCUCUGCUUGGAAUUGGGCACCGUCCUCACUGCGGACGCGCCUCAAAGACCUCGGCGGUGGCUGUUCAGCCCUCAAGCGUAGUAGAAUACACCUCGCUUUGGAGUGGUUGGCGUCGCCCGCCGGACGAACCUUCUGAACUUUUCUCAAGGUUGACCUCGGAUCAGGUAGGGAUACCCGCUGAACUUAAGCAUAUCAAUAAGCGGAGGA